RNAcentral lists this transfer RNA (67 nucleotides) under Neotermes sp. A TB-2014. Its description in RNAcentral is "tRNA-Trp". The record is from RNAcentral. Lineage: Eukaryota; Metazoa; Arthropoda; Insecta; Blattodea; Kalotermitidae.
AAGGCUUUAAGUUAAAUAAACUAAUAACCUUCAAAGCUAUAAAUAAAGAAUGUGUCUUUAGGCCUUA